Long non-coding RNA from Marmota monax (woodchuck), 1839 nucleotides. RefSeq lists it as uncharacterized. NCBI's taxonomy places the organism in Eukaryota, Metazoa, Chordata, Mammalia, Rodentia, Sciuridae. The record is from RefSeq and is a predicted model, not a curated record. The transcript has 2 exons.
GUAGCCAGAGAUUCUGGGAAGCCCUGGAAGCUGGGAGGGGCAAGGAGAAUCCCCGACAAGUCUCUGAGGGCAAGUCUCUGAGGGCAUAGGACCCUGCAGACUUGGGACUUCCUGGGCAGCGCUGUGGGAGAGCGCAUUUCUGUUGUUGAGCCGAGGUUUGUGGUGUUAAGAAGGCGCGUUGGUGGUGGAGAGCUGUUCCAAGGGACCAGGACCUUCCCUGUGUCCAAACACAAGACCUGAGCCAAGGCCUUCACCCCAGACCCUGGUCAAGUCCAGCAAUGUUAUUCCAGGAGCAAAGGGGGCAACCCCGACCUCCAGGGGCGAACUGUCAAGAACCUGCAAACCCCAGCCAAGACCCGCAGGCCCCCUGCCGCCUCAAGCAGUCCCUUGCCGAAUGUUGAUGCUCCCCCAAGCUGUCGGGAGAGACAGAGGGAUCAAGCUCUGCCCUGUGUGAGCACCUUCUCCAUGGGCCCCGGAGUGAGCCAAGGCUGAGCCGUCCAGCACUGCCCGUGUGCUCACUCUGUGCUCUGGGCCCCGGAGCUGCGGCUGUGUUCCUCUCUCUUCUCAGUGUGCCUGGAUCAUCCUCAGAGCUGCUGCGCGCCCUGACAGGGCCUGGACCACUGUCCCCAGCGGGCACUUAACCUGGUCAGGCCGCCUUUCCACAUCUACUGGAAAUAAACCAGGGGCUGCAGGUCACUUUCUGGUUCCCUGGCCCCUGCGUGGCUGGGCUCUGCGGACCUACUCUUUGUGGCCAGCAGGGCCUCGGGAACCUCCUGGAGUGGGCGUCCAGCUGCCCAUAGGCACUGCUUGGCUGGGUUCCUGGACCCUGCUCUGGGCCUCACCCCGUGGCCACAGAGAUUCCGACCCAGAGUGACAGCCUCAUCUGGCUGGGGCACAGGGUGGAGGCCCAGCCUGGGGAAGUCCUAGGCUUCUCAGGAGGACGAGGCCUGGGGGCGGGGGGGGGGGGGGGGGGGAAGCUCUGUUCCCUGCCCCCCUCCACUCCCUCCCUAAACUCAGAGUCCUUUCCUGGAGUCACUGCUGAGAAUUCUCCUGCUCCCCUUCUCCCCAGGGUCUCCUUCCCCCCAGCAGACCUUGGCAUCCUAAUGCCCCGGGCAGGAGCCUCAGGUUUCCAGCGAGGUCUCGGGGUUUUCCGCCCAGCAGCUCUGCGACAUCUUCAAGGACCAGGCCUGGACUUGGCCUUUUUGUCUUCAGAGAGACACGGGCAGGUCACGGUUUGCUAAGUGCCUUGUGGUGCCAAGGGCAGGUGGCAUGUGUCUGAGUCCAGCCCUCCUCUGCUGAGAGAAGGUGUCAGUGGGAACGAUUCUCCAGAGUAUGUAAUGGUCCCCCCAGUGGGUAUUUUGGGGACUAAUUGGCCUGCUAUUUGCAAGCUUCUUUGCCACGAGCAGGGAGGGAGAACGUGGGGGUGUUUUAAGGGCAUGAAGUAUUGACUCAGUUAAUUAACUCAGCAUGAACUGUGAUCACAGCUCCCAGACCUGGCUGUGGUACUUGGUACUUGGUACUCGGUACUCGGUACUCGUGCAGCACCAAGAACUCAGGUGAGGACAGCAGGAUAUUUUAAAUUUUGGCAUGAACCUUGAAGUCUGUCUAAAACCAUGUGAACCGCGGGCUUGAGGGAGCUCACACUUUCAACAUUAGAUUGCACUACAUUCCUUUUGAUGAUAUCAUAUCUUUGCAAAGUUGGAUUUCUGGAGAUUGCUGUGAUAAAACCCAGUCAGUGAGCCACCAGUGUGGGGUGGGAAGCCAGCACAGAGGCUGCAGAGUGAUUCCCACAAUUGAGAAAAUUGUGCAGUGCCAAACAUGUAAACCAUCCCAUAAGUA